UACGUAGGUGGCGAGCGUUGUCCGUAAUUACUGGGUGUAAAGGGUGCGUAGGCGGUAAUGUAAGUCAGGUGUGAAAGCCCGAGGCUCAACUUCGGGAUUGCACUUGAAACUACAUAACUAGAGUACAGGAGAGGUGAGUGGAAUUCCUAGUGUAGCGGUGAAAUGCGUAGAUAUUAGGAGGAACACCAGUGGCGAAGGCGACUUACUGGACUGUAACUGACGCUGAGGCGCGAAAGCGUAGGGAGCAAACAGGAUUAGAUACCCUGGUAGU
RNAcentral lists this ribosomal RNA (271 nucleotides) under uncultured prokaryote. RNAcentral describes it as "partial 16S ribosomal RNA". It matches the Rfam family "Bacterial small subunit ribosomal RNA", at positions 524 to 794 of the family's 1533-position model. The record is from RNAcentral.